Molecule: long non-coding RNA, 699 nt
Filed under: Marmota monax (woodchuck)
Lineage: Eukaryota; Metazoa; Chordata; Mammalia; Rodentia; Sciuridae
Source: RNAcentral
UUAAACAAAAGUUGUUGUUGUUUCUAUUUUUCACUAUUCAUAUAGUAACUACUCCAUUCCAGAAAAGUGAUAGGAUUUAUAACUAUGAUUUCCAUUUUCACAGCAACCCUGUGGUAGAGAGGACACUAGGUGCUCAUCAAAUCCUCUUUUUCUCCUGGAACUACGUUUCCCAGCAUCCUAUGCUAUUGGGUUGCAUCACGUGAAGGUUCUGGCCAAUGGAAUGUGGGCAGGAGUAAUAGAUGCAUGUCUCGCAUGUCUGGCUUCUAAAGAAUAUCAUGUGCAAUCUUUUUUACACACCCACACUCACUCUUCCCUUGUGGGAUGCUGAAAUAGAAAAUCUAAUGAUGGACUCAGCCACUGGACUGAAUUUCUGUAUAAUCAUAGGUAAUAGUCCCCUGGCCUCUGCUCAGCUUCAUUGGACUGAAAUAUUAAGUUUGUUUAGUCACUGAGAUUUAGGGGGAGGUGUUUAUUAGGAAGUUGCCUCACCUAAAGCAGAGGUAUUUGUAUCAUUGUUUUUGAUACAAUGACUCAGAGACACUAAAAAAAAAAACCUGCCAAGCUCACAGAGCACAUGGGUGACAAAUCUGGUUUUGAGCUCAGGUUACGUCUUUUCCACUCCACCAGGCUAACUAGAUGGCUGCUCCUGUACAGAUGUUGCGUUGGCCUUUGUCUGUCUCUUGAGGAGUCACAGAAGGAAAG